RNAcentral lists this transfer RNA (72 nucleotides) under Micromonas sp. RCC1109 virus MpV1. It matches the Rfam family "tRNA". From Rfam's summary of the family: Transfer RNA (tRNA) molecules are approximately 80 nucleotides in length. Their secondary structure includes four short double-helical elements and three loops (D, anti-codon, and T loops). Lineage: Varidnaviria; Bamfordvirae; Nucleocytoviricota; Megaviricetes; Algavirales; Phycodnaviridae. The record is from Rfam by way of RNAcentral.
GCACUCAUAGCUCAGGGGUAGAGCGUAAGUUUAGUAAGCUUAAGGUCAAGGGUUCAAAUCCCUUUGAGUGCA